Long non-coding RNA from Alligator mississippiensis (American alligator), 8279 nucleotides. RefSeq lists it as uncharacterized. NCBI's taxonomy places the organism in Eukaryota, Metazoa, Chordata, Crocodylia, Alligatoridae. The record is from RefSeq and is a predicted model, not a curated record. The transcript is spliced from 3 exons.
GUGGUAGUCUCCUGUCAUCUGGCACACAUCCAGGGGCCCACACCCCCAGGAGGAGUCUGGCACAGUCCUGCAAGUUAAGAGGAGGCUGCUGCUGGCAAAUUUUGCUUUCAAGACUUUGAGGUGCAGUUUCUGAAAAACCUCUGCACCUAGGUCCUUGAAACUUGGCAGGCUUCAUGCCCUCAGAGGGGGCUACCAUCCCUGCCCAUCUGAAUUGGGCAACAAAUGACAAUGUUUUAGGCAUUUUCAUGAUUCCCCAUUAUAGCCUAUGGGUGAAACGUCGAAAUGGGUCAAAACAGUGAAACAGUUUUGAUUAAACGAAACGGUAGUGCUUUGAAAUGAAACAAAAUGAUGAAAUGAAACACUCUCCCUUUGUAAUGGCAAAAUAGACAUCAAAACGAAAUGAUGGUGCUUUGCAGAGCCCUACCAGAAACCCAGGCCACUGCAUGUUGCUGCCAGGAGUGGGGGGGUGGAGCAGCCAUGGUGCAGGGAGACAGAGGCUGCAGCAAAAGAGCCACUGCAUGCUGCCCCCAGGCUCUGUAUGCUUUUCCCAGUCAGAAAAGAAGCUGGCCAGGGAGCAGCAGGUGGGGUUGCCUUUUAAAGAUGGCUGCUGGCUGUAGGCAGCUGUGGCCAGUGCCUCCACCUCCCCCUAGUGGUGGCAGGACACCAUUGCAGGGUCACAGGGAGUGAAGCAGUUUGCUGCUAGGAGCAGCAAAUCUGCUCCCACAUCCCUGCAUGUAUAGUCGUGCACCCAGGAGUGUUUACUCUUGAGCAGUUUACUUGAGAGUAAACAGCUCCUAGAGCAAAUGUACAUGUAGAUACACCUAUAGAUGAACAAAUUAUAUUUACCUUGUGAAACUAUAAUAAUUCAUCAGUUUCUGUCUCUUUUUUGGGUACUGACACAUGAACCAGGUUCACAGACUUGAAAGAGAGGAGGAUUUACUAUGCAUCAGCUGAUCUAUGGUAACUGUUCUGUGUGUCCGCUCUACCCUGCAGUAAGUGAAAGCUAAACUGGGGCAGUUUACACCUUAAGAAAAUAACUUUUAAAUUACAAGGAUUUAGCCUCUGCUUACUAUGGAAUAGGAGAGAUGCACAGAAUAGUUACUGUAGAGCAGCUGACAUGCUGUUAGUUCCUGACCCUUUUCAGUUGUUAUCUAUCAACACUGAAAAAGAGAAAGACUGCUAAAUUAGUUAUUCUCACACCUUACACAUGUACACAAACAGGCACAACUGUAAGCUGAUCAAAACUGUAGACAAAAUUCCUCUGCUGGAAAAUGCUGUUUCAUCAAAACUGGAGGGUUUUGCAGAAAUAUGCUGGAUUCAACAUUUCUGUUGGGAAGGUGUGUCAGGUCCAGGAUGGGAGAGAGAAAGAGCACAUGGCCACUUUCACACAAUAGCCAUUAGCUUAGUAUUUAGAGCCUCAACAUAUCCCAUAGUUAUCAGGCUAUCGCAUCUCCCACCCAGCGCCUUGUGUUGAAGAUGUUCUAUUUUGUAUACAUGGAUCCCUUUUGUUGACUCAUUGAGCCAACAAAAGAGAAACUAAUGUUCUAGCCCAGUAUUGAGGACAGGAGGGCCAGAUUCAAGUCCUGAUUCCAAAUUAAGCAGAGUAAGUAGGUAAACCCGGUCUUCCUCAUGUCAUGCUAGUGCCCUAGCUGCUAAUUUCUUGGAUUUUCAGGAACUGUAGGUCUCUUUCAUUAAUACUUCUGUGAGGAUUCAGUUUCAUUCCACAUAGAAACAAAUUCAAAUUUGAAACUAAUUGGAAAAACAAAAUGUCAAGCCUUCUGAUAUUUUUCGUGAAAUAGAAUAGUUUUCUGCACAGCCCUUUUACUCACACAGACAGACAGUCACACACAUGCCAAUUACAUUUUUGUUCCUUGAAUCAUAUUAUAGAUAUGGGUGUACUUUAGUAUCCCUUUUUUAUAAAUGACCUUCCUGUUUUACCUCUGGAUAGGGUAACUACCAGGAAAACUGGGAUAUUUGGGACACUGCCACUGCCUCCCCACUUCUCCAAGUCAGUGGCACUGUUGCAGGCAGUGGCAGAGACCAGUGGGGAGGGGUGUGGACACAAUCCUGUGGGGAGGCAAAGCUGCCUGGCACACAGUGCUGCUCUGCCUUCCCACUGGAAUGUAACAGAAUUCCUGGAUGCUCAUUUUUAAUUUUUGCUAUCUGGCCAGGACCAACCUUUAAAAUCUGGGAUGGGUCCAGGCAAACUGGGAUGUACAGUUACCCUACCUAUGUGCAUGCAGGAAGGCAGUAAUAGAGUCUGCCAAGCCUAGGUCUGGUCUGGUUUCAACCAGGUUCAACAUAGUGUUACUCCUUAUGCCACUCCUUUUUUUGGAAAGUUAUGCUGUUAACUGUACAUAUCUUUUCACAUUAAAAAUAGACUAUCUAUGGGAUCUGUAACUUCAUUGUGCCUUUCUGACAUAAAAACUGGUUUCUAUUCUCUUGGUAUCAAAAGUUUCUCUAGUUCUGAUACAUAGAGGGAUACAACAUAAUUUGAUUUGGAUUAUAGAGCACUGAAGGUCUUCUUCAGCCAAGUCCCAGACAAAUUUUAGCUGUCUGAGUUGCUGAGUUUCAGAAGAGUCUGUAUAGAACAUGGCGCUAGCACCACACUGCCUGAUAUAGACUGCUAUUUUAUUUUUGGAAAGUAGCCUACAGCUAUUAUGACUGACUUUCUGACAGUUAUCAUGUAUUGCUAUUUCAGUAGAGAAUGUUAACUAUAAAAAUCAGGUAACCUGAGGGUUUGGAAUCAUGCUUACAUUUUUAAUAAGUUGUCAAAAGACCACUUUAGAGUAUUCAUUUUAAAUUGGACUGAACAGUCCCACUGUCACUUAAUAUGCACUUGCCUCCCACACUUCCCAAGUUGGGGCAUAAUGCAGACAUCUUCUGUAAAAAGAGUAAUUUAUGUUUUCUACCUUUGCAGUUUGAUUGUCCAGUAACUUCUAUUUCUAAAUGAGUGGUUCUGACUGCUUAUUAAUUUAUUCCCAAUGGACUUCUUGAAUUCAGGUUUCUUUCACAAGGUUCUGGGAGGGGUUAUCAAGCUGGUACCCAAACUAUAUGUUUUGGUACGUUUGGGGUGUUUUUGUAGCCAUGAUGAUCCAGGAGGGAAGAUGCCUGUGCAUGCCUUCUUUUAAUGUGAAGCAUUAUGCAUAUGAUACUCCAUGGGAAGGAAACCUUAAUCUAAUCGCUAAGAGAUUUUUACUUUGCUGUAGGUUUCAUCUGCUUUUCCAGCCAUUGUAAAGUAUUUUGCCUCAUUUGCCUGCUCCACUGUUCAGGACUUUUAUUUUCAUUUUUGGAUUAUUAAUUUGGAAACCUUGCUUUUAACCCUACCAGGAGUUCUCUUGACCUCUUGACCCUACCAGGAGUACCAAACUCCAGAUGGCAUUGCUUUCUAGGUCGUUGCUAGCACACAGACCUGUUAGCAUCCUUGAACCACAGGUCAAGGUUCAGAUCCAUAGGAGGAAAAAAGGGCAAGAGCUGUGACCCAGCACUGCCAGUUGAACAUGCAAAUCAUGGAUUGGCUUCUUCCGUUAUCAACAAACUUUCCAAUUACUUCCCUAUAUACUGGAAGACUGUCAUCCUCAUAUUGAGGGACAACCAGCAACAGUCCAAGAAAUGUAUGACAGGCAACAUUGUUAUGCAAAAUGCCAUUCUUCUGGUCACCUCCUUCAGGGCAAUUUGGGUGUGUCCAGACAAGCAUGGACUUUGGUUCCCGGGGGGCAAGUAACAGCAGUGCACCUUGCGCUGGCGCUACCUAUCCCUGGGAAAUGCCUGUGCCACGCAUGCUUUGGUGCAUGGUAAGUUACCCCAGGUGGAGUAGGAGAGACUGGGGACAGCACUGGGCUGAUACCAGAAGCCUUACCUGGGGUCCUGGGGGCGUCCUGGGGCUGCAGCAGUGGAUUCUGUCACAUGGAGCCUGGCCAGCAGCUGCAGCGUGGUUCUGGGCAGCACAGCUCUGUUUUUGAGGGGUGUGCGCUGGCUGUGCGUGUGCUGCUCUGCUUUUUUCUUCCAUGGGUUUUUUUGAUCCCUGGAUAUCCAGCACUCCCUUGCAGCCUGGAGAACAUCAAAAUAUACAGUAUGUGGUGCUGCAGACAUGUUUGUGGUUCCACAUGCUGUAUGGCUGCACUUGUCUGGAUGCAGCCUUUGUGUCCAAAGCUUGCCCAACAUCUCUCUCCUAACUAUAGAACUGGCCCAAUAGAAGAUCACAAAAAACCCUUCUCUCUUGUACCUAAAUUAUAGAUAAUACAACAUUUUCUGGCUCUUAUUGCUCCUCAUGUUUGUUACUUCUGCCCUUCAACUGGUAUUUCCAUUGAGUAAUACAGUAAAAGCAUAUAGCCCCUUCUUUGUCCUGCAGAUGCAAUAGAAGUCCCUCCUUAGAGAUCACAGCACAAGGAUGGCCUCUGAGGUAAACAACAAAGGUUUUCUGUGAUAUAGUCUGAGUGCCAGGCAUGUUUUAAUGGAGAGCUGUGGUCCAAAGAAAUUAGUUUCCACAUGCAGCAGGUUCUAGGAGUUGAAAUUUUGUUGGCCUCCAUCUCUAUAUCCAGAGGGAAAGUGAUUACAGUCUUCUACAAGAAUACUUUCUAUCUGUAUAUAAAUAACUCAUUAAUAGGAAAUGUGCCAGUAGGCAACUCUCAAGCCUGUAGAGUUAUUAUUUAUGGGCUUUAUUGGACCAAUAGAUUAUUUUUUGUGCGCUACAAAUGGUUUUCUUUUCACAGCUGUUUAUAUUAGCUCUUAAAAUGCCAACUGGGUUUAGCUCUUAAACUUGUGUCAGGCUGCUAGUAUAGGCCGUGUUGAGCAAAGUCCUGGUUCCCCUGGGAUAAACUGACUUUUCCUUGCACACCUCUGUCAUCUAGUACUUUCUAAGUUACAGUACAGUGAACUUUAUGAUGAUAACAUACUUUUUUGUCUCCUGUUUUCAGAGAAGGGGAAAAAAGCAGCCAGCAACAGCUCGACAUAUAAAGAAGGAUACAAUGAUGUGCUAUAAUUCCAUAAAAAUAUUUAUAGGAGCUGAGCCAUUUUCCAAACUGUGCUAAAACAUGCCUUGUAAAAACAAGGGGAAAGGAGGAGGAUUUAGGUAGCCAAUUGCUUUAGCAACAACAAGACAAGACAGAAGGUUAUGGACCUUCAGGGAUUUCUGGCCACAGCCAUUUCUGCAUCACAGCAGUCACCUGACUGCUUCCUUAUACUCUGAUUUUCAACAAAGGAUGCAGAGACAGAGAAGCUUUUAAAAUGCUCAGUAAAAAUAGUAACAAGUUUUCUUAAGGAUACAGGCAUGAGAUGAGGGGACUGGAAACUACACAUAGAUACAAAUAUUACCUUAUCUUGCACAAACCCAACCACAUUGCACCAGUUUGACAUAUUUGUCAAGCUUUGGUGUCAUUUGAAGACUUAUGGUACUUGCAAAAAUGACUUCUCAGCACCAGCCUAUUAAUAUAUCUAAUUUUGCAAUCUCAGUCCAGGAAUUUCAACUUUCAAAGUUGUCACACAGAUACUACCAAAACAUGGUAAGGCUUCUGGGUGAGCUCAAAAGUAGGGUGGAAAGAAAAGGACUAUCAGGCCCCUUUAGAUGGUAAGGUAAAGGUGUGAUAAGAUGUGAAUCAUGAUCCACACAACCGUGCCUCCUGCCGUGCUGUACAUUCCUGGCAAUAGGUGUGAUUGCUGGAUUCAGCCUUAAAUCCUAUCACACCAGGGUGGGGCCUGGGAUUACCAUCCUUGUCUCCUCCAACACCAGCAAGUAAAGAGCUCCCACAACUCCAAGCCUCAUAGCUGACAGGACUCACAGCCAUGGAAGCACCCUAUGGCUGCCAGGAUCAAGAGUCCCACAGCUGUGGACUCUCCAUUUUGGCAGUCCCCCAUGGUCACUGGGACUGAGGGUCCCACACCUGCAGGUCUCCCUAUCCCAGAAGUGCCACACAGGAGUCACCAUUGCCAGGACAGAAAGUCCCACAGCUGUGGGACUUGGUCCCAGUGGCAGUGGGAUGCUGCCGGUAAGGAGAGUCCCCUCAGCUGCAGGACUCCAAGCCCUGGCUGCACAAUGUGCACCCCUAUGGCUGGGAGCUCUGUCAGUUGAUGGGGUUCCCAGCCACAGGGGGAAAUCCUUCUACACUUGCAAAUUAAAGCUGGAUUGCAACCAGUUAUAAAGUUAGUACAUAUUUUCAAGGUCUAACUUUGUAGCUGGUUGGACCUUUUAAUGGCAUGGUCUCAGUUAAUUGAACAAUUAACCCGUUAAUUGCAUAAUACCUGUAAUGUGUUGAGGGGGCCUCUGUGCCUGCACCUCUUUAAAGGUCCUUGCUCUGGAAAACAUCCCACAGUAGAAUGUGGAAUCCUUUCUUCUCAUCUCUACUCUAGUCAAGUAAGUAGUAGCUAUAUAUAUAUAUAUAUAUAUAUAUAUAUAUAUAUAUUUUAACAUCCCCAUGCUCCAAUAUUUUAUAGUACUUCAAAAGCCAUAUUAGUAUUGCCAUGGUGUGAUAAAGUCAUAUGCAGUCUAUAAGAUAUAGCAAGCAACAGCAAUAUAAUGUGACAUCAAUAUAAUAUGAUAUGUUUGGAUAGUAGAAUAUAAAGCAGAAUCAUUCCAAUAUAUUAUUAUUAACCCUUAUCUUUUGUAUAUAGAAGUUUUAUUUAAUAUUGUUAUCUUUUGGUAUACCUGAACACUUUUCAUGGUCUUCAAGUUCCAGAGGGUUAGACUUUUUAUAUUGGUUCUCAUUUUCUAAGAUGUGCUUUUACAAUUUAUGUCUUCAGCCACAUACGAUGGACUUGUAUUUCAAAGCUGUACUUAAAAGAGAUGCAGGACCAAUUUAACUAAGCAGGCUACAAUUAUAUUCUCAAUGCAGCUUGUUUAGAUGCAAAGCAAAGAAUGAGGCAGAUUCAUUUUUAAGGGAAUUUACUUAUGGUCUUAGUUGAUCUGUACCCUAUAUAUCAUAGAAAAUUAGGGUUGGAAGUGACCUCAGGAGGUCAUCUAAUCCAACCCCCUGCUCAAAGCAGGACCAUCCCCAACUAGAUCAUCCCAGCCAAGACUUUGUCUAGCCAGGUCUUAAAAACCACCAAGGAUGAGGAUUUCACAACCUCUGGGUAACCUGUUUCAGUGCUUUACUACCCUCCUAGUAAGACAGUUCUUCCUGAUAUCUAAUCUGAACGUCACUUGCUACAAUUUAAGAGCAUUGCUCCUUGUUCUGCCAUUUGCCACCACUUUGGAACCAUCCUUCAGGUAAUGCAGCCAUUCUUCACAACAAGGGCACACUGUUGGCUCAUAUUCAGCUUAUUGUCAACUGUAAUCCUCAGGUCCCUUGCUGCAGAGCUGCUACUUAGCCAUUGGUCCCUAGCCUUUACUGGUGCCUGGGAUUGUUCCAUCCUAAGUAUAGGACUUUGGACUUGUCCUUGUUGAACCUCAUGAGAUUUCUUUUGGUUCAAUCCUCCAAUUUGUCUAGGUAUCUCUGAGUCCUAGCCCUACCAAUGUAUCUACAGUUCCCCCCAGCUUGGUGUCAUCUGCAAACUUGCUGAGGAUUCACUCCAUCUCAUUUUCCAGAUUGUUGAUGAAGAUACUAAACAAAAGUGGCCCCAAGAUUGAGCCCUGGGACACUCCACUUGAUACUGGCUGCCAACUAGACAUUGAGCCAUUGAUUACUACCCUUUGAGCCAGAUGAUCCAGCCAGUUUUCCAUCCACCUUACAGCCCAUUCACUCAACCUGUGCUUCCUUUGUUGGCUUACAAGAAUGUUGUGGGAGACCAUAAAAAAGCCUUGCUAAAGUCCAGGUAUAUCACAUCCAUUGCUUUCCCUGCAUCCACAGAGCCAGUCAUUUCAUCAUAGAAGGUGUUUAGAAAUGGAUUCCUUACUGACCCACUCCAUGAUUUUUCCAGGAACUAAGGAUCCUGAACUCAAUCAUCUCGUGGUGGUUGCUGCCCCAGUUGCCAUCUAUUACUGCAUUCUUCACCAAUUCUUCUCUGUUUGUGAGCAGCAGGCAAGAAGAGCACAGCCCCUAGCUGGCUUCUCCAACACUUGAACCAGGAAGUGAUCCCCAGAAUUCUUCAAAAACCAUAUCAGGAAAUGUUGAGUGUUGUUGCUUGUUGUUAUACUUAAUCUCUAGUGAACUAAGUGUAAUGACAUUUAUUAAAUUAAUUUAUAUCGAGAAAGUAAAACUUUAUGGUGUAUCUCUCUCUCUCUGUCUCAUUAAUGCAUAUCAAAAGUAGAAACAAUGGCAUGAUGUAGCAUUGUUUGCACACUGGUGUGUCUGAGUAGAGAUUGAACUGGACUUCAUACAAACAAGUAGGGGAGAAAGAAGGUUGUG